UACGUAGGGGGCAAGCGUUGUCCGGAAUCAUUGGGCGUAAAGCGCGUGUAGGCGGCUCGGUAAGUCUGUCGUGAAAGCCCCGGGCUCAACCUGGGAAUGGCGAUGGAUACUGGCUCGCUAGAGUGCGGUAGAGGAGAGUGGAAUUCCCGGUGUAGCAGUGAAAUGCGUAGAGAUCGGGAGGAACAUCAGUUGCGAAGGCGGCUCUCUGGACCAGCACUGACACUGAGGCACGAAAGCGUGGGGAGCAAACAGG
This 253-nucleotide ribosomal RNA is filed under the name uncultured bacterium. RNAcentral describes it as "partial 16S ribosomal RNA". It matches the Rfam family "Bacterial small subunit ribosomal RNA", at positions 524 to 776 of the family's 1533-position model. The record is from RNAcentral.